AGGGAAUAUUGGACAAUGGGCGCAAGCCUGAUCCAGCCAUGCCGCGUGAGUGAAGAAGGCCCUCGGGUUGUAAAGCUCUUUUGUUGGGGAAGAAAAGCAUUCGGUUAAUACCCGAGUGUUCUGACGGUACCCAAAGAAUAAGCACCGGCUAACUUCGUGCCAGCAGCCGCGGUAAUACGAAGGGUGCAAGCGUUACUCGGAAUUACUGGGCGUAAAGCGUGCGUAGGUGGUUCGUUAAGUCUGAUGUGAAAGCCCUGGGCUCAACCUGGGAAUGGCAUUGGAUACUGGCGGGCUAGAGUGCGGUAGAGGGUAGUGGAAUUCCCGGUGUAGCAGUGAAAUGCGUAGAGAUCGGGAGGAACAUCCGUGGCGAAGGCGACUACCUGGGCCAGCACUGACACUGAGGCACGAAAGCGUGGGGAGCAAAC
This 425-nucleotide ribosomal RNA is filed under the name uncultured bacterium. RNAcentral's name for it is "bacterial SSU rRNA". It matches the Rfam family "Bacterial small subunit ribosomal RNA", at positions 356 to 773 of the family's 1533-position model. The record is from RNAcentral.